GUUUGAUGGCUGUGUAGAGGAGGAGAAAGAGUCAGUGCUGUGAGGAGCUGCCCAUGAGAUAUCACUGAGAAGGAAUGGGGAUCCAGCUGUGCUUCUCCUCGCUGACUUCCUGGCUGUGGUGGGAGUUCUGCUUGGGCAGGACUGGCCAGCACACCUGAUAGGCAAGAGAGAGGGGUUUGAGCAAAUGUGGGAGUUCAGAGUUGUAUCAGCCAUCAGAGGACAUAACAAGAAUUCAAGUCUAGUCCUUCACCUCAGACAAAAUGGUUUUGUGUGGUACAGCUUACAGCCCUGGGAAGAGGCGGAUCUUUCAAUGCAGAACUCUGAAUUAAGACAGCAAGGACACCAGGUACUUACCCAAAUCCAAUUUAAGAGCUGUAAAGUCACAACAUUAUUUUCAUAAGAGCUACUGUGCCUGUGCAUGUCCAGCAGUGGAGAUGUUUUAACAUUAAAACUGUGAUGGGAAACAUGGUAGCUGCUCAAGGUGUAAGAGAGAAGACAAUCACAGUGUAAGCAGCAACAUAAUCUCAUCCAGCCAGAGGAAAAACACUUAAGUACUGUUAUGGCUUGCAUUUUUACUGGAAAUUUAAGUUUUCUUUCUCCAUUGGAGCAGACAAUAGCAGCAAGGAUUUCCUUAAAAGUCGCAACAAAAGAUAAGAGCAUAGGCAGAGGUACGCUGUUAGGGAGUAUCUCUGAUGUUUUUACAGAGGAAAUAAGGAUGAGUGGCCAGAUCAGGCUGUUCUCUUGGUUCUCCACAUCAAACACAAUUGGAUAAAGCAGAAUUUCUGGAAACUAUUCAGGGGGAAAGGCAAUAUUAACAUAAUAGUUACCUAAAUAAAACUUUGUAGAGUAAUUGAGUUGAACUGUACAGUGAGGAAUCACAGAAUUUGGAAAUGCUCUUGUCCACAGCAUAAAGGGUGUACUCUGCAGUGUUGGUUAGGCCAAAAUCUGCUCUACCCUAUUCUUUUACUUGGGUAGUGAAAGACAGUAUUGUCUAAAACCAGCAUUUGCUCUCUGAACAAAGAUUGCAAUACAAAAGUAAGCAUCAUGUGAUCCCAGUUCUAUAAGGUAGCUGCAGCUGAUGGAUCUGAGAUUUUUCCUUUUUUUAGGUAUUUCACUUCACAGUCAUGUUUUGGUUCCCUGAUGGAAUUUCAGAGAUCUAAGGGGCACAUUGCUUAAGAGCAUUUAGGGACAUACUCCUGAAUUGAAGCAAGGGAAGAGUCAGUCAUAUCACUUUCUCCAGCAAUCCUCUCAAAGUUAACUUCAUUGUUUAGCUGGACAUAAAAGUAAAUUAUCUAUAACAGAACAGUAAGUGACGUUUAUUUUAAGUUUAAAUAGUACUUCUAUUUUAUCUAGGCAAAAUGCUGCCACUGUUUCAAACACCAUGAUCAUUCAUGUGUGGUAUGCAAGUAGCAGGAAUGGCCAUGUUGGGUCAUCUCUGAAUUCAGUUUUGUGUGACAGAGGCCAGUGCAGAGGUUUCAGAAGAAUGGGUAUGAAAUCAUACAGUAGGUAGAAGUUAAAUACUCCCCAAUCUUUUCUCAUAUUUAUCAUCUGUGCUACCUUUCAAAAUGUGUUGUGAUAAGACCAAGUAUUCCUGAUAUCCUUACAGUUAUUUCAGUCUUCAUUAAACUGUUAACCUUAGCAGUUUCUUGCAGUGAUAAUUGCCUAGACAGAUGUGAAUAAAGUGAAUCCUUUCACUACUUUUUUUUACUUUCAGCCUCCUCAUUAAUGACCCCAGAUGUUCUUGUUCUUCCAAAGAGAGGGGAACAGAAGUUCCCAGUUUUCAUCUUAGCAACAUUCAUUACUCUUUAUAUUUGUUUUCUUUACAAAACAAGCAUUCUUAACUUUUUUCCUUCUCCUUAUCUAGAACUUUUCUGUGGCCACUUUUAUCAAUGUUCCCUCUCGCCCGUGUUAUUGUGCUUAGUUAUUGAAACCACACUGAUGGUUUGUUUUAAGGGGCAAUAAUAUUUGUUCUUUACCAUUUCUCAAAUAUUUCCAAAUUUAGGCUCAGUCUCCAGCUAUAGAUUGAAUGAAGAACUUGAUUUAGCUGUCCAGAUGCCCUGGUCUGUGCUAUCAGCUGAUAAAAUUAAUUAGAAACCCAACAAAAUAAAAGCAGGAGUUUUUUUUCUGUGCUUUUUAAAAUUACUUUUUGCUGCUACUUCUGUCAAAGCUAAUCAUCAUUUGGCAAUGUUACACAUUUUCCUUGCCUGUUACAGCUCUUUGAAUUUCCUGAAACCAUAGUCUUACCUAAUCUGAUUAAAUGAAACCUCAGUGCAUCACAUUUUGCCAUGUCCUCUUGGAUCUUAUAACCAUUUUACUU
Long non-coding RNA from Passer domesticus (house sparrow), 2317 nucleotides. RefSeq lists it as uncharacterized. The record is from RefSeq and is a predicted model, not a curated record. Lineage: Eukaryota; Metazoa; Chordata; Aves; Passeriformes; Passeridae. The transcript has 3 exons.